GACGAACGCUGGCGGCGUGCUUAACACAUGCAAGUCGAACGAUGAAGCCGGAGUUGCUCCGGUGGAUUAGUGGCGAACGGGUGAGUAACACGUGAGCAAUCUGCCCUUGACUCUGGGAUAACUGCGGGAAACUGUAGCUAAUACCGGAUACGACACCUUGGGGCAUCCCAGGGUGUGGAAAGAAUUUCGGUCAAGGAUGAGCUCGCGGCCUAUCAGCUAGUUGGAGAGGUAAUGGCUCACCAAGGCGACGACGGGUAGCCGGCCUGAGAGGGUGACCGGCCACACUGGAACUGAGACACGGUCCAGACUCCUACGGGAGGCAGCAGGGGGGAAUAUUGCACAAUGGGCGAAAGCCUGAUGCAGCAACGCCGCGUGAGGGAUGAAGGCCUUCGGGUUGUAAACCUCUUUUAGCAGGGAAGAAGCGAAAGUGACGGUACCUGCAGAAAAAGCACCGGCUAACUACGUGCCAGCCGCCGCGGUAA
RNAcentral lists this ribosomal RNA (482 nucleotides) under uncultured bacterium. RNAcentral's name for it is "partial 16S ribosomal RNA". It matches the Rfam family "Bacterial small subunit ribosomal RNA", at positions 28 to 523 of the family's 1533-position model. The record is from RNAcentral.